This 253-nucleotide ribosomal RNA is filed under the name uncultured bacterium. RNAcentral's name for it is "partial 16S ribosomal RNA". It matches the Rfam family "Bacterial small subunit ribosomal RNA", at positions 524 to 776 of the family's 1533-position model. The record is from RNAcentral.
UACGUAGGGGGCAAGCGUUGUCCGGAUUUAUUGGGCGUAAAGCGCUCGCAGGUGGUUUGUCGCGUCGUGCGUGAAAGACCCCGGCUCAACUGGGGAGGGUCGUGCGAUACGGGCGAACUGGAGGCCAGUAGGGGGAUGCGGAAUUCCGGGUGUAGUGGUGGAAUGCGUAGAGAUCCGGAGGAACACCGGAGGCGAAGGCGGCUUGCUGGACCUGGUCUGACGCUGAGGCGCGAAAGCGUGGGGAGCGAACAGG